Rattus norvegicus (Norway rat) is the source of this 69-nucleotide non-coding RNA. NCBI's taxonomy places the organism in Eukaryota, Metazoa, Chordata, Mammalia, Rodentia, Muridae. The record is from Rfam.
GGGGAUUUAGCUCAGUGGUAGAGCGCUUGCCUAGCAAGCAUAAGGCCCUGGGUUCCGUCCUCAGCUCCG